Molecule: ribosomal RNA, 301 nt
Filed under: uncultured bacterium
Lineage: Bacteria
Description: partial 16S ribosomal RNA
Rfam family: Bacterial small subunit ribosomal RNA
Source: RNAcentral
CAGUAGCCGCGGUAAUACGUAGGGUGCAAGCGUUGUCCGGAAUUAUUGGGCGUAAAGCGUGCGCAGGCGGUUCGCUAAGACAGAUGUGAAAUCCCCGGGCUUAACCUGGGAACUGCAUUUGUGACUGGCGGGCUAGAGUAUGGCAGAGGGGGGUAGAAUUCCACGUGUAGCAGUGAAAUGCGUAGAGAUGUGGAGGAAUACCGAUGGCGAAGGCAGCCCCCUGGGCCAAUACUGACGCUCAUGCACGAAAGCGUGGGGAGCAAACAGGAUUAGAUACCCGAGUAGUCCCUGUCUCUUAUAC